GGGUCGAUAGUUCAGCUGGCAGAACGCAUCGCUUGCACCGAUGAGGCCUCGGGUUCAAAUCCCGAUCGGUCCACCA
This 76-nucleotide transfer RNA is filed under the name Candidatus Heimdallarchaeota archaeon. RNAcentral describes it as "tRNA-Ala". It matches the Rfam family "tRNA". Rfam says of the family: Transfer RNA (tRNA) molecules are approximately 80 nucleotides in length. Their secondary structure includes four short double-helical elements and three loops (D, anti-codon, and T loops). Further hydrogen bonds mediate the characteristic L-shaped molecular structure. tRNAs have two regions of fundamental functional importance: the anti-codon, which is responsible for specific mRNA codon recognition, and the 3' end, to which the tRNAs corresponding amino acid is attached (by aminoacyl-tRNA synthetases). tRNAs cope with the degeneracy of the genetic code in two manners: having more than one tRNA (with a specific anti-codon) for a particular amino acid; and 'wobble' base-pairing, i.e. permitting non-standard base-pairing at the 3rd anti-codon position. Lineage: Archaea; Promethearchaeati; Candidatus Heimdallarchaeota. The record is from RNAcentral.